UAGUGGAUGCCUUGGCGAUAAGAGGCGAUGAAGGACGUGGUACGCUGCGUUAAGCCAUGGGGAGCUGCGAACAAGCUUUGAUCCAUGGAUAUCCGAAUGGGGAAACCCGGCCCGCAAGGGUCAUCAUUAUCUGAAUACAUAGGGUAAUGAGGCGAACCUGGGGAACUGAAACAUCUAAGUACCCAGAGGAAAGGACAUCAAUUGAGACUCCG
This 212-nucleotide ribosomal RNA is filed under the name Oxyrrhis marina. Its description in RNAcentral is "partial Bacterial large subunit ribosomal RNA". It matches the Rfam family "Bacterial large subunit ribosomal RNA", at positions 24 to 239 of the family's 2925-position model. The record is from RNAcentral. Lineage: Eukaryota; Dinophyceae; Oxyrrhinales; Oxyrrhinaceae.